CCAGGCCACGCUGGCCGCUGUCAGCAGGGACACCUCCCAAAUGUGCAGGAGUGUCCGCGCUCUCUGGGACGUCCAGAGGACAGAACGUGCCUGACCCUACAGCUCUGAUGACUUAGCAACAGGCCCCAGAAAACGGCCCAAGCCGGUCCCUGCCACAGGCAGGCACCACGGCCAGGCUCCUGGCGUCCUGCAUCCUCCCUGCCCCCACCUUCCCCUGCUCCUUGCUUAGCGGGUGCUAUGGAGACCGCACUAUAGAAACACCCAGCUGAAAGCAUUUAAGACCCACAGAACGCUCCCACUUAGUCACCCUGGGCUGAACAGCCCUGUAAUCCGAGAAGACAAAAGUGAUCAGAACACAUGUCUCCUCUCCUCUGUGGAGCAAGCCGGUGACUCAGAGCGGGGGAAGGGUGUUCUAGAAAACACCCGAGGCUUUGGUUCCCCUCGCCGGAUAGGCCAUCGUGGCUUUCCCACGUUUCUCAAAACACCAACGCUGCCCCCUAACUGCUGCAGCUGGUGAAUGACAGCGGAAUCCUUGGGCCUCAGCUGUCACCACUGUGCGAAAAGACAGGUGUGGUGUGCCCCGUGCUGCCGCCGAAAGCCCUCUCAGCUCUGACAGCAUAAGAUGCUCCAGAUUUCCCACGGUGCUAUCCAAUUGUUUUUUUCCAGGAGGACCCCUAACUGCUUAUACUCCAAGGAAAGAUGUCCCACUGCUGGGAUGCAGUGGCUUGUCCACAGACCGCCUUUCACGCUGAAGAGCUUUUUAAAAUGAGAACAGUAGACGCAUAAGGGGCUUAAACCACUGCCAUCAAACUCCACGUGUUAACAGGAGCAGCCUCUGCCAUUAUCUUUUUUGAAGAUCUCAAUUAUGGUUAUUUUGGUUUUGCUUUGUUAAUUACACAUCCAUUGAAAUAGGACAAAUCUCUCCCCUUUCUCAGAGGGCAAUCUGGAGGCACCUCCCGGAACAACGGAGCCCAGUGAGGGGGAGCAAACUGCAGGAACCACCUGCUUCAGUCAGCACAGGCCCCGGCAACAGCCCACGGCCCACAGCCCACACCCAGAACACUCGAGGCCCCAGUCUCUGUGUCUCAGAGAGGGAACGGGGAAGAUGGAUCAGGGCAGAGGAGGGGGCCCCUGGCAACCUCAACCCCAGCUGGGUGGGUGGGCCCUCUGCCCUCCCAGCGGCAGGAGCCUGCCUGUGUCAGCAGCUCCAAGUGCUGGGCUGCUGAGAGCCUGGCACUGGGCCGGAAGGGACCGUCCACCGCCCUGGCCCUCUGCGCUCGGGCAGAAGGUUUGGCCCACGCUGGGGGUGACCCGGCCCCACACCCACGCCCAUCCAUCUGCCUCCAGCCUUCUCUUCCUGGGCUCUCGCCUCUGCUGCGGUCUUGGCGGCCCCUCCCUCAGAGCCCAGAGCCUACACAAGGGGUAGGAAGGGCACACUGCCUCCCUGUGGCCCCCACCAGCGGGCCACAAACCAACGCGAAUCCCAAAGGCACGGACGACUGCUGGGUUUUCUAACAGUCACGGUGUCCCUUGGAGGAAGAGAACUCCUGCCUAAUCAGAGCCUGGGCUGGGGGUGGGGCCAAAGGAAACAGAAACUGGAGAAGUCCUUGGCCAAGUCCCUCCGGAGGGGAUCGUGCACCCAGAGCCUGACCAACUCCACCCAGCACUGCUUCCCAAAGUGCUUCACCUGGGAUGGCUCUCGGCACCAGUCCCACCCCAGCCCGGACCCUUCCGUCAGAAGCCCUGGAGACUGCCAACCAGCCAGGGGCCGGCUGUCCAUCAGAAUCACCCCAAAACUUUGAGAACCUGACAGUCAGGCUAAAGUACAACCAUUCACCCGCAUGCCUGGGGAGGGGGACCCUGGGCCAGAGACAGGGCGCCAGAUGAGGCCUGUGACCACGCCCUGUCAGACACACAGUAGGUCCUCCACUGACUGUCCCCUGUAGCCGCCUCCACACAGAUGGGCGCUUCUGUCAGCGCCUGGUCCAGCGAGCACGGCAAUGACCAGAGGUGCAGGGCGUGACCUCAGCCAUGUGGGCAGUACUUGGUGUGCCCCCUACUUCUAGAAAAAAACUUCUGUCCUAGUUUGUGCCCUAUAUGCCUCUAAGUGCCUGUUCCCUGACCUAUAAUUAAAAUCAAUUCUCUCGCGGGAAAUCCCAAAACACAGUCUCAAUUAUCAGCAGUUCACGAAACUGGCCCAGUCCCACUCACAGGGAGCCCAUCACAGAUGGACUGACAGACAGACAGACACGCUCACGGGGGACAAGCCUCUGCCCCGCUCAGGAGCUGAGGUGCCUCGGGGAAGGUGUGUAGGUGCUCCAAGGGUCAACCCCUGCCUGGUGGGUGCUCGGGGGCCUCUCUACUCUCCCUGGCAAGCAUCCUGCCCACACUGAGCUCCAGUCGGGGAGGGAAAACACAUGGACCAGGGGCUCCAGAAGGCUCACAGGUUACCCCAGGGAUUGACCCAAGGAAGUCCACCCA
Molecule: non-coding RNA, 2481 nt
Organism: Kogia breviceps (pygmy sperm whale)
Lineage: Eukaryota; Metazoa; Chordata; Mammalia; Artiodactyla; Physeteridae
Source: RefSeq, a predicted model, not a curated record